RNAcentral lists this ribosomal RNA (368 nucleotides) under uncultured organism. RNAcentral's name for it is "bacterial SSU rRNA". It matches the Rfam family "Bacterial small subunit ribosomal RNA", at positions 526 to 896 of the family's 1533-position model. The record is from RNAcentral.
CGGAGGGUGCAAGCGUUAUCCGGAUUCACUGGGUUUAAAGGGUGCGUAGGUGGGCAAGUAAGUCAGUGGUGAAAUCUCCGGGCUUAACCCGGAAACUGCCAUUGAUACUAUUUGUCUUGAAUACUGUGGAGGUCAGCGGAAUAUGUCAUGUAGCGGUGAAAUGCUUAGAUAUGACAUAGAACACCAAUUGCGAAGGCAGCUGGCUACACAAUUAUUGACACUGAGGCACGAAAGCGUGGGGAUCAAACAGGAUUAGAUACCCUGGUAGUCCACGCCCUAAACUAUGGAUACUCGACAUUUGCGAUAAACUGCAAGUGUCUGAGCGAAAGCAUUAAGUAUCCCACCUGGGAAGUACGAUCGCAAGAUUG